UACGAAGGGGGCUAGCGUUGUUCGGAAUUACUGGGCGUAAAGCGCACGUAGGCGGCGCGACAAGUCAGAUGUGAAAUGCCUGGGCUUAACCUAGGAACUGCAUUUAAGACUGUCGUGCUAGAGACCGGGAGAGGGUGGCGGAAUUCCCAGUGUAGAGGUGAAAUUCGUAGAUAUUGGGAAGAACACCGGUUGCGAAGGCGGCCACCUGGACCGGCACUGACGCUGAGGUGCGAAAGCGUGGGGAGCAAACAGG
This 253-nucleotide ribosomal RNA is filed under the name uncultured bacterium. RNAcentral's name for it is "partial 16S ribosomal RNA". It matches the Rfam family "Bacterial small subunit ribosomal RNA", at positions 524 to 776 of the family's 1533-position model. The record is from RNAcentral.